AUUAUUAUGCCCCACCUACGAUAAUAGAGGGGCAUUAUGUUUUCUGGUCUGUGCGUCCGUCCGUCCGUUCGUUCGUCCGUCCGUCUGUCCCGCUUCAGGUUAAAGUUUUUGGUCGAGGUAGUUUUUGAUGAAGUUGAAGUCCAAUCGACUUCAAACUUGGUACACAUGUUCCCUAUGAUAUGAUCUUUCUAAUUUUAAUGCCAAAUUAGAGAUUUUACCCCAAUUUCACGGUCCACUGAACAUAGAAAAUGAUAGUGCGAGUGGGGCAUUCGUGUACUGAGGACACAUUCUUGUUUUUUGCUAU
Molecule: long non-coding RNA, 304 nt
Filed under: Mytilus galloprovincialis (Mediterranean mussel)
Lineage: Eukaryota; Metazoa; Mollusca; Bivalvia; Mytilida; Mytilidae
Source: RNAcentral